GUAUUGAUCGGUCCCCUAACAGUAAGUAUUGAUCGGUCCCCUAACAGUAAGUAUUGAUCGGUCCCCUAACAGUAAGUAUUGAUCGGUCCCCUAACAGUAAGUAUUGAUCGGUCCCCUAACAGUAAGUAUUGAUCGGUCCCCUAACAGUAAGUAUUGAUCGGUCCCCUAACAGUAAGUAAGUAUUGAUCGGUCCCCUAACAGUAAGUAUUGAUCGGUCCCCUGACAGUAAGUAUUGAUCGGUCCCCUGACAGUAAGUAUUGAUUGGUUCCCUCUACAUAUGUUCAGUGGUGUCCUCUCCACUUGACAUCCAUGUCACCAGUCAGAUCUGAACCCUGGUCUCCUGCAUAUAAAACCAACACUUUAACCAAUAGGCCAAGAGGACAUUCUGUCUCAAGCGGAGGGUGACACGUAUUUUAUGCCUCAGGUAGUACCUCACCAGUAGAGCUUGAGUCCGACUCACCUCCACUACACACAGGGAUGAUCACCAAGGAAUAUGCAUGUCUUUUAAAGCUUGUUGUCUAACGGUCUGUUUCAGUAUCUGGUCUGGGGAUCAUUCAGCUGGGAAAGACUGGAGCAGGGAUGAGUGCAACCGGAAACACCAAACAGGUGUUUAUAGAAGAGUUCUCUUCUGAGUCUGUGACGACACAAUGUGAAGAUAUCCAGAGGAUGAAGAGGACAGCUUCAGACACUACUGAAACAGGAGGAGGAGGAGGAGCAGCAGCAGGAGUAGGUGCAGCAGCAGAC
Long non-coding RNA from Oncorhynchus tshawytscha (Chinook salmon), 744 nucleotides. Lineage: Eukaryota; Metazoa; Chordata; Actinopteri; Salmoniformes; Salmonidae. The record is from Ensembl.